This 351-nucleotide ribosomal RNA is filed under the name uncultured Desulfobulbus sp. Its description in RNAcentral is "bacterial SSU rRNA". It matches the Rfam family "Bacterial small subunit ribosomal RNA", at positions 1034 to 1382 of the family's 1533-position model. Lineage: Bacteria; Pseudomonadati; Thermodesulfobacteriota; Desulfobulbia; Desulfobulbales; Desulfobulbaceae. The record is from RNAcentral.
ACAGGUGGCUGCAUGGCUGUCGUCAGGCUCGUGUCGUGAGAUGUUGGGUUAAGGUCCCGUAACGAGCGCAACCCUUGCCUUUAGUUGCCAGCAGUUCGGCUGGGCACUCUAAAGGGACUGCCGGUGUUAAACCGGAGGAAGGUGGGGAUGACGUCAAGUCCUCAUGGCCUUUAUGACCAGGGCUACACACGUACUACAAUGGCCGAUACAAAGGGCAGCGACACUGCGAGGUGAAGCCAAUCCCGUAAAAUCGGUCUCAGUCCGGAUUGGAGUCUGCAACUCGACUCCAUGAAGUUGGAAUCGCUAGUAAUCGUGGAUCAGCAUGCCACGGUGAAUACGUUCCCGGGCCUU